Molecule: ribosomal RNA, 463 nt
Filed under: uncultured bacterium
Lineage: Bacteria
Description: partial 16S ribosomal RNA
Rfam family: Bacterial small subunit ribosomal RNA
Source: RNAcentral
CUACGGGGUGCUCCAGUGGGGAAUUGUUCGCAAUGGGCGCAAGCCUGACGACGCAACGCCGCGUGGAGGAUGAAGGUCUUCGGAUUGUAAACUCCUGUUGCCCGGGACGAAUGGCUCCAACCUAAUACGUUGGAGUGUGACGGUACCGGGUGAGGAAGCCCCGGCUAACUCUGUGCCAGCAGCCGCGGUAAUACAGAGGGGGCAAGCGUUGUUCGGAAUUACUGGGCGUAAAGGGCGCGUAGGCGGCCUUCUCAGUCAGACGUGAAAUCCCCGGGCUCAACCCGGGAACUGCGUCUGAUACUGGAAGGCUUGAAUCCGGGAGAGGGAUGUGGAAUUCCAGGUGUAGCGGUGAAAUGCGUAGAUAUCUGGAGGAACACCGGUGGCGAAGGCGGCAUCCUGGACCGGUAUUGACGCUGAGGCGCGAAAGCCAGGGGAGCAAACGGGAUUAGAUACCCUUGUAGUC